Molecule: ribosomal RNA, 221 nt
Filed under: uncultured soil bacterium
Lineage: Bacteria
Description: partial 16S ribosomal RNA
Rfam family: Bacterial small subunit ribosomal RNA
Source: RNAcentral
AGAAUGAACGUUGGCGGCGUGGAUUAGGCAUGCAAGUCGUGCGCGAUCUGUAGCAAUACAGGGAGAGCGGCGAAAGGGAGAGUAUAACGUAGGUAUCUACCCUCGGGUCUGGGAUAGCGGCGGGAAACUGCCGGUAAUACCAGAUGAUGUCCCCGGACAAAGGUGUGAUUCCGCUCGAGGAGGAGCCUACGCCCUAUUAGCUAGUUGGCAGGGUAACGCCU